Non-coding RNA from Zonotrichia albicollis (white-throated sparrow), 13495 nucleotides. The record is from RefSeq and is a predicted model, not a curated record. Lineage: Eukaryota; Metazoa; Chordata; Aves; Passeriformes; Passerellidae.
ACGCUGCUCGGCGCACUUCCGCCGCUAUAUAAAGGCUCGCUGACCUGGCUGCUUCUAAGUUAGGGGGGAGAAAGAUAAUCGAGUUUCCUGAACUUGGCCUGAAGUCAGAUGUGAUUUGAUUUGGAUUGCAGACAGCCUGGAGAAGUGCCUCCGAGGCCACUUGGAGAGUUGGACGUGGUUUGUGGCCUCUCAGAAGAGAAACUCCGGUGCUGUGUUCACAUUCCCGUGGCUGGGGGUGAUCUCUGAGCCAUCUCAACAGCCGGCAGCCCAGAAGUUUCUCACACAUGAAGAAUAACCACAUCUGUCCAAAAAGCUGCAGUGCUUCUGCUGGGAAAAGAAUGCUUCUGAUUUUCUUUUUCUGAACAGCCUAAAAAAGUCAAUGACUGGAUUUUAGUGGAAAAUAAGACCCAAGUCAGAUUUCUCCCUGCCACCCUUCCCAAAACUGUGAUGAAUUUGGUUUCUGGCAUUUUCCAAUGGGAAAUUUUCCAAUCAGAAAUUACUUUGGCUCGGGUGUGAGACAAGGAAAUACACUUUUUUUAAAAACCAGCACCUGGAAAAUUUUAUUUGGAAAUGGAGAAAAGAUCUGAUUGGGGAAAAAAAAAAGAAGAAGAAAAAAAGGCUUUCUGACCCAUGCAUUUUGAUCAGCUCUUCUCUUCCUGUUUCUAAAGAUGUGUACACCAAUGUCAUCUAAUUCCCUCUGAUCAGCCUCUACCUUUUCAGGUCUAUUGAUCUGUUCUAGUUUAUGAAGCUCCCAACUAUUGGAAAGAAGAGCUUAUAAAUAACUACAGAGAAAUGGGAUUCUGUAUCACAGAAGUUCCAGCUGUGCUGCUUUUGUUUAUCACACUACACACAUUUUUUGGAACUUUUCUUAACCAGGAGGUUGCAAAAGGAAGCUCAGCAUGCCAAUGUCCCCGAGAACUGUUGUGUUGUAUUGUACUGUGCAAACGGUGUUUUCUCCCUCUUGGGAUGGAAAGGUUUCUGGGUUUGUUUUUGUAGAUAAGAUAUAAACUCAGUAGUGGUUCUGCUAGUAAAUACAAGUAGCCUCAAGCUCUGGUAUGUGUCUUGUUGGUCCCUCCAGUAAUUUGACAAAGUACCCUUCCAACAAGCUCCUGAAAAGUACAAUAUGAACAAUUUUGUUGAUCCCUCAGUAUCUGGAAUAGUAGGAAGGGACACUUUGCCAGCAUUGGUGUGGGGUUUGGCUGUCUCACCCAUGUUCAGUGCUGGCCCAUCUCAGGAAUCAGAUGUGUUACCAGGAGGGUGAGGAAAGUUCUCUCUCUAAAACUGCCACUUCUGGAAUUUUGGCUACCUUUUGUGGGGAAAGGGGUAGGAAGCCUCAAAGAGGUAAAGCCUGUAAUUUACAGUACAGGGGAGCUUCCACACAAGGAGAGAUUGAUCAAACUGAGAUGUGUUGUUUGACUAGAGAGGCAGCUGGGAGAGGGGGAUGAUCAAGCCAAGCACAGUCCAGACAGGAGUAGGAUGGUUUGCUGUAUCUUGUGAUGUGGGUUACCCAGUGAACUCAUUAAGCAAAAAGUUUAAAGAAAAUGAAGGUAAGUCCAUUCUCCUGACAUGCAUAAUUACAUAUAUAUUCCAUCAUCACCUGCUGCUGUGGAGUCCAAAAGAGGAGGAUGAAUAGAUGUGAGGCAGCACUAGAUCAUCACGGAAGGCAGAUCCCUGAGGAUGUGGAAUGUAAUCAAAGGGUUUGCAGCAAGAAGAGAAUCACAGAUAUCCUCAUUUGCUUUCCCCCUCUCCCUCUUGGGAAGGCUGUGGCCAUUUCUUAUGCCUGCUUUGGCUUCUUGUCUGGUCUCAGAGGCUGAGUGCUGGAGGGUGUGGUUGGACUGACAGCACUUCCCUUCCUCAGGAAUGGACGUCCCCAGUGUUCUCCCACCAGGUGAGACCCUGUGUGCUGGAUGAGGAAGCACGGGGCAGGUGGUGAAGGAAGGGCAAUGAGGCUGGAGCACAUCAUGAUUCCCACCAGGACCAUCAGGCCUGGGGCGUGUGGAGGACACCACAGGCCCGUGGGGCUGAGGCAGUGGCCUUGAGAGCAAUCUCCUUUGUAGGGAAAGAAGGAUCCAUCUGAUCAAUGCUAGAAGCUUGGAGACAAAUGCCUCUUGCUCCUCCAGACUGUCUCUUGUAGCAGGUCUCUAAUUAGCUGAGAAUUUGCAGCCUUCGGAGCCAUCCGAAGGCGCUGCCUGCACCUUGUGAUCUCCCCGGCUGAGUGAAUGUGUCAGGAUGGGUGCUUCAAACCCAGCCCCAGUUCCAACACAGCCCUCCAGAGUGCCUGGGUACCUUAGAUCCUUCCUCCUCAGCCUCCCCAUCCCUAUCACAGGCCAUUUUAUUUUGUUUAAAGAAGAAGGAAUUCUUCACAAGUUAGAAGAGGUGAUAAGGGAAAGACAGGAGGAAUAAAAGGCUCAGCUGUCAGAGACCAGGGCAAGGACCAGCCCCUCCCUCAGCUCUGUGUUACACAGCCAUGUUGUAAGCUCAGCUGCAGAUGACAAGUGCUUUGUUUGUGACUCCUGGGUGCUCUGCACUUGAUGCAUCUCCCAACAGAUGCAAGGCAAGCUCUGCUCCUCCUGUCUGGCCUGGCUUGCAGUGAUGGAUUAAGUGGGUCAGAGUAGGAGGAGUCCUGGUGGAAGCAGUGCCUCUGAAGUGAACCUAUGGACAAGUUCCUUUGUAUGUAGAAGAGAUUGCCACUGAUGUGAAUUCUCUACCCAGGACCCCUGAACUGAGCAAUGACAAGCUGCUCUGUUCUGCCCCAUGAAGGAGGUCUCCAAGCAUUUUAAAAGAAAGCUAACAUCACAGAUUGAAGCCUCAAGAUGGGAUAUUUUUCGGUGACCAAGUCUGGAGCCAGCCAGAGAGACCUGGGCUGCCUGUGGUGCUGCAUUGACAUCACAUCUCUGUGGUGAAGGUAGGCUGGUCCUCAGUGCUCCCUGAGACAUGGACUCAGAGGGAGCCCCAUCUCUUAUCUCACUCUCCCUGGGCGCCCACCACAUGCACAGCCCUCUGAGAAGGAGCUCCCUGGCUGGGAGAGUGAAGGCUCAGAGGUAUUUAAGCCUUUUGGGAUGGGUUUUAUCAGGAAUGGGAUUUGAGCUGCCUGAGAGGGAGGUGACACAGGCUGGCAGCUGGGGAAUUGGUUUGGAGCAUCAGAACAAAUGGCUGCUGUAAUUCUGGAGCAUUCUCUUGUUAAGUUACCUCUCAUGUCACCCUCCUCCAUUUCAGAACUGAGAGGAAAACAUGGCCUCAGAGCAUUUUUCUCCCUAUGAUGCCUUCACCUUUCUUGUAUUCCCUUUUCCCUUACAAUCUCAGCUGACUGGGUCUCACUGCCAGCCUAUUGAAAGGAAAGGCACGUGCUGGCUUAUGGAGGGAGAGAGACCUGAGACAGGAUAAAUCUGUAUGCAAUGAGAACGGGGGGAAGCAAGUCAGCUGCUCUGACACUUUUAUUAUGGAGCCAGGCUGCUUGGGGAUGAAUCUUUCUUGAAACGUGUUGCUGGAUGACAUUUCUACCAGGUCUCAGCAGUAACCUUCACCAAGCCUUGCUGCCCAGCCCUGUGCUUGCCUUUUCCUGGGACAAAGGGAAUGAAUAUCAGCUGGAAAUGCCACAGGCAGCAGGGAUCAGUGGGGCUCAGUGCACCUCCAGUGAGUCUGAAAGCACCUGGAGCUCUUCAGGCUUUGGUGACUCCAGCUUAUGGCUGCAUGUGUUGUUUUGCAAAGGACUUGUGGGCUCCUACAUCUGUUCCUCAUUUCAGAAACAAAGAGGAUGCAGCAGAGACCAAAAUGAAAUCCUCCUCAGAGUUGUCCAGAAGGAUGGAUAAGUGCAAGAAAAUAUAAUUCCAUGGCUGUGGAAAAGGAGUAUCCACUUGUUUAGUAACCUGGUAAUGAGUGCUGGCUGUGCUCCAUGCAGAGGCUGGGAGCCACAGGAGAUUUGGGGUUACAGAGAGGGCUGGGCAGGGUUUGCUGCCCUCUCAGCUCCUUUCCUGUAUCACUGUCAGCUUAGAUUUCACAUCAAGAGCGUGAUGUUAUGGCUGGCGGUGACAACAGCAGAAUGUCACUGGCAAAGGUGAAAUCUUUCCCUCCAUCAGGGUAAUUCUCCCUUCCCUUUCCCCUUCCCCUUGGCUUGUGUUGGGCCCUGCUGACUGCUGGUGCUGAGCAGGGCAGGCCCUCACGCUGCUCAGGAGACAGAAUUUACUGUUCUGAGCAGCUCUUCCUGCUCUCUGGGUCAGUGGCUCCCUGUCUCUGCUGCCCCUUGGCUGCACAGUGACCUGGGACAGAGGGAAACCCCUCAUCACUGCCUGAAACAAACUGGGGACAUUGGGAGCUGCACUGUUUGCCAUCAUGUGCUCCUCUGCCAUGCUGGCAGGCUUGUACCACUGGAGGUCUGCCAGGGAUGUCCCUUCAGAGCCCCCCUAUGCUCUUCAGGGCCAGGCCUAAGCUAGGUCUGGGUCUGAGGGGCAGCCUUACAUGUCAAUGGUUCAUGUUCUCUGCAGGCUGCCUCUCACCUCCUCUGAGCUGGAGCUGAUCAUGUGGAAAGGUGCCUGUGCCCAGCUGCUGCAGCAUCUGUCCCCAAGAGCCAGUUCAGCAAAGCCUUGGUGUUGUUCUGGGUCCAGCUUUCACUUUCCAGCUGGUUAUGGAGAAAAGGAUGAAGGUUCCUGCUGCUGCCAGGCCACAGUAGAAAACAGAGGAAGGAGACUGGCCUCUUAGUGUGCUUAAAGAUCCAAAAGUUUAAUCUGACUCUGCUUCUCCCUCAGCCCUGAUCCUGUUGUAUCUUUUCCAUCUGAUGCCUGAGUCUUUUUUUGUUUUGCUAUUUUUUCCUUGUUCUCUUUCCCCCCUCACUUUAUGAAAAAUGGCUUUCCCAUCUGCAUCUGUCAGGAGCCUGCCUGAGCCGGGUGUACGGCUCAGUGAAUAUACAAAUGUGUGCUUGGGUCAUGGCCCCCCUGACAGGCCAGAGAUGAAUUCCAAACAGGAAGAACAGGAAGAAGAGCUUCUGCUGCCUCUCAUGGUUGCUUUUGUUAUCCCAAGGAGGUGUGAGAAUCGCCUUUGGGAGCUCCUGCUCUGCCUUACCAAGGAUCAAUUCUCUCUCAUCCAUCAUCAGAUGAGUCCUCCUUGCUCCCAUCUCAGCUGCUGAUGGGAAUGCUGGGGAAAUGGAAAACUUUUUAAUCCUGCUUUUUACUACUAUUCUUUUCUUUCUGCCUUUUGCAUCCCACCUCUUAGGCCCAUGACAAUGCAUUUGGCAGGCUGGGCUUGAGCACACUCCAUGGUCCAGGUACUUUUUAAAGAGAGUGAAGGAUGAGGUAGAGGGAAGGGCAUUGUUUUGUAGAAUCAUAGAAUAUCCUGAGUAGGAACCCACAAGGAUCAUCAAGUCUAACUCCCCUCCCUGCACAGGACACCCCAACAAUCCCACCAUGUAUCUGAGAGCAUUGUGCAAACACUCCUUGAGCUCUGGCAGGCUUGUGGCUACAACCACUGCCCUGGGGAGCCUGUUCCAGUGCCCAAUCACCCUCUGAGUGAAGUUCAUUUUCCUAACACCCACCCUAAACCUCCCCUGACACAGCUUCUUGCUGUUCCUUUGGGUCCUGCUGCUGGUCACCACUUUGACCUAAGCCCCUUAAAGGGCUUAAAAUUCAGCUUUGGAAUUUUUCAGCAGUGGUGCACAACUCCACAUAGGAUGCCCUGAAAUCACCCGGAUGCUCCUACACAUUCCAGCCUCUCUGUUUCCCCUUUCCCUGCUGCAGGGGAGAAGAGCUCCCUGUGGGGCUCUGCAAGGAGGAGUUUUUGAGAAGGGAGAAGAGCUCCCUGUGGGGCUCUGCAAGGAGUUCUUGUCUGUAUGCUGUGUACCUGCAGGGUCACUCAGGUGCCCAAAGGGAGCUGACAGCCUGCCCUGACACCCAGGGGUUUGCUGAGCUGCUCCUGCCCCUUGGCUUUGUGCAGGCUGGUGUGGGAGCUGCUUCCCUCACCCCCGUGUCAGAGGAGCCAGGCAGGCAGAAAAUGAAACGAGUCUGUCCAUCCACGCUCUUGCCACAGCUACCUGGUCAAGGAGGGGAGAUUCCUGGGAGGGCAGACCCUCACUUUGGCAGGAAGAGAGAGCAGGCAGCUUGAGCUGAGCUCAUUUUUUCUCUAAGCAGAUGGAUGUUCAGUGGGGCCCCACAAAACCCCUCUCGCUCCAGGCUGUGAGCCCACCGAACCAAAGCGCUGUGCUGACACGGAGAAAAGCAUCACUCCAUUGAUGCUCAGCCUGAGCUGCUGCUUCCAUUCCACUCAGGACUCAGCAGCAGCCUCCUCCUGCCCCCAGCUCCCAGGAGGAGCCAGCUGCACACCUGCAUCCAGGCGAGGAGGGAGCAGGAGCUGUGCAGCCACGAGGAAGGCACCGAUGGCAGAUCCCUGCAGCAUUCCCACCCCGCGGGGCUCUUGGCCAGCGAGCUUUGAAAGCUCUCGGUGCUCCUGCAGGGUUUGACUUUUAAAUCUGCAAAUGGACUUAACUGCUAAUGUGCUCAUCAGUUCAGAAGUGGCAGCCAGAGGAGCUGUGAGACUCGGUGAAGGUGGGAGAAGCCCCAGAGUUGAGCCUGGAGCCCCAGGAAAGGUUGUUCCAUGGACAGAAGGACCCAUUCAGGUCCUUCCACAGCUGUAUCUCCUUCCCAGCAGACUGGGAGAGAUCCAAUCCGUGCUGCAGCUCAUGGUGCCCAUUGUGCUUCCUUCCACUGGUGGCAGAGAGGAAGCUCCUGUGAGGAGGAAGGAGGGAAGCCUGAUGUCCCUGCUGUGCUGCUGUGGGUGACAGCUCCUUGCUGGCCUCCCCCAGGAUGGUGUGUCCUGCUGGGACCUGUGCUGAGCUCUGUGGGACGGUGGCACAGGGCUGUCCAGGCCAGCUGGGCUCCAGGGAAGAGUGGCUACAGCACUGGGGAGUGGGGAUGGAGUGUCAGAGAGGAGUGACAGCACUGGGGAUCUGCCAGGAAAGGCUCUGCCUGCCCCCCGAUCCACAGCAUCCAUCCCAGCCCCCAGGAGCACAGACCAGCUGAUGUUCUGCCUGGGAGUCUGGCUUUCCCUGGAGCUGGAGAGCCGUCCCUGCCUUGGAUGAGCUCUCACAUGCCCUGUAAAGGUACCAAGGUGGCUCUGAGCUGGGGAGAAGUGAUACCUGGCAUGCAGAUACCCCAGCCCCACCUUUCUUUGGCCACUGACCACCUCAGAGCCUGUUUUCCACCACACAGCCCUUUGGCUGAGUUUGCUCUGACUUUCUGGUCUCCCUGUAACAGCAUGGUGAAGGCAGAGAGCAGCUUCAAGGAGAAGCACCAGGAGCCCUCUGGCUCACACAGGUAUGGAAGCAGCUGGGGCUCAAGUGCCUGGGGUGGGCUUUGGGAAGGCAGAAGUGAAGGAGGGAGCACAGCUGGAAUGUUGAUUAAACCCUGAGAAGGUUUUUAACUGGAUUAUAUUGCUGCUGUGUUGGAGCCAGGAGCAGGAUGAGGGGUUUUGGAGAUGCCUGGGCAUGGGGAAGAGCCAAUUCCUGCAUGGGGAGGGAGCACUGUGACCCUGCUCCCUGUGCCAGAUGCCAUCUGGAGCAGGCUCUGGGCAUGCCUGGGUGUCUGUGUGUCCUGGCAGCCCUGGAAGUGGCCUUCAAAAGGGCUGGUGGGUGGGAAGAGACAGCCACUGUUUCAAGAUAGCUCUCAAAAUUCAUGGGAAUAUUCAUGGCCAGCUCUGCUGACCCAGGGGCUGUGCUCCCCUCCUCCUGCCCACCUGGAACAGGGAUGCAGGGCAGCUCCAGACUCAGUCUGGCCUCUCUCUGCUCCCACAGCUCCCCAGGAAGAGGAGAAACCGACCUGAGACGUCCUGGGUCACCCCUUGCCAGGUCACCUGUGCUUGCUGGCAUUGUGCUGGGCAGGGCUGUCCUGGGUGAGGUCUGGCUCUGUGGGCACCAGGCAGGGGAUGUGGGAGCUCUGCCUUUGGGUCUGUGCUGCUGCCUGGCACCAGGAAUCCUGCCUGGCACCAGGAAUCCUGCCUGCAGCAAUCAAUGUGGUCUGGGCUCCAGUUUUUUGCUUUGGCAGCAGGCUGAGCUCUCAUCCUGCUGGCCAGGCUUCAUCCAGCUGGAUCCUCUGCUGUCCAAGGGAAUGCCAAAAAGCUUUUGGUGCCUGUGGCUGCUGCGUGUUUGGGGUGGGAGAGCUCAUUCCUCAGCCUUUUGUUUGAGUUCUCCAUUUAUGCAAGGCUUGGACAGAAAAGGGACCCUGCCCUCUGCCAGCACGAGUACUCCUGAUCUCAGGAGGGAAACUGAGGCUCAAAGAGCCACUGGCACCUCACUCACACACACAUCCACUCCUCUGUGUACAUCUGCCAACCCCUAGGGCCCAAAGUACUCUGAGUAACCACAACUUUGUGCUUUUCAGCCAGAAGAAGCAUCAUUUGUUAAAUUUUCCAGCUGUCAGGAAAACUGGGAAGACAGCAGAAGCCUCUCCUGUCAUGGUGGAUGGUGUAAAUCUCUUGGAGUUGCACCUGCUGAUGGCCUGACCCUGGAGACCUCUGAGAGCUGGAGCUAGUGGGGAUUGAAUCCACCAGGGAAUAAGAGAAUCUCGCCCGAAGAAGCCGCUUUGAUCAAUGCACUUGGAUUCCAGCCUUCAGCCUUGAUCAAGGCGGGAGGAGGGACGAGGGAGAGCGAGCACUCGCGGGCUCUUUGGGGACGGCCGGGAAGCGAGGCUGCCGCUCCAAGGAAAGCUGCUUCAAAGAGCCUUUCUGAGAGUGUGGCUCCCAACACCACUGCCAAGUCUCAGGAGAGAAGGAAUCUCUCUCCAGCAGCUCUGUGGGCUUUAGAAGAGCCCCUGGUCUAUGGCCAGUGAGGAGAUUACUUCAAUGGAGCAAGCCUGAUCCAAACAACACUCUCCUGGGAUUUAUAGGAUAUCACAUCCCUGGACACUAUUUGGGGUGGUUUAUGUGCCACAUUUUUUUACUGUUAUGUUGGUGAAACAGCCAUAGAAAGUAGCUUGGGAAAACAAGGUGGGAGAUAAAUCCUGGUGGCGUGGGCUCUCCCAGCGAUCAAAUGGGCUACAGGUGGAGAAAUAGGCCCUUGAGACCCUUUAUUUCCUGCAAUUCCCAUCUUCCUGAGUGGAUCAAUACCACCAGAGGCAAGGGAAGGGUGAGGAGCCAUUGCAGGGAAUCACUUCAAGGGAAAAGCUGGAAGGUGGUAACUGAUGUAGCUGAUUUUUGAGGCAGAUGGGCUGGGAGGGUUUGUGUAUCCCAGGAGGGUUUGUGUACAGAGAAGAGGAUGCCUGUAGGCUGGGAGAGCACUUUUAAAAAUAAUUUGACUGAUUUUUCUCCUUCUUUCUUCGCAUCCAGUCAGUCUCCACUCCUGGCAUAUGCAGUAGGAGCAAAAGGUCUGGCUUGAAGAUUUUUUGGGGAUUUUAUUCCACCCAACAGGAAAAUCCCUCUGAAUUUCAUCCCAUUGUCCACCAAAUUUUGCCCGUCUCAACCCUUGGUCCAGGAGCAGAGCCCAGAGGAGGAGAAAGCAAUUUGCCAUUGCCAUUCCUGGUCCUUGCAAAUUUUUCCACUUGCAGAAUGGGGUGCAGUGAAGAGACUUCAUUUGGUGGUGUCUGAAGGGUCUCCAGGUUCUCCUCAAGAGCUGGGAGUGGCUGAGGGCACUCAAGGGGGCAGUGGGGUUGGGUGGCUGAGGUUGUGCUUUUUGAUCUUUGCUUAAGGAGGAGUUGGUGGGGAGGGAAGAAGGGAGCUGAGGAACUGGGACUGGGGCUUCCUGAGGUCCCCACCAGCUGGAGUCACCCCAGAUUGUCACUGAGCUCCUAGUGGGGACACAGGAGGGUGGCUGGGACAUCUCCUGCUAGCAGAAACGUCCCUGUUGCUCUGUGCUGAUUCUGCUGCCUCCUUCAGGGACUGUGGCAGGAGGAGGAAGAGGGAGGAAGAAGCUGAGGUCACCACCAUUUCAGGAGGUUGUGAAUUUUCCCUUCCUUCUCCUUUACCAUUCACCACAGACCCUGUAGAUCCUCUCUGGAGAGAAAACACCAGGGAGCAUGGCAUGGGGGGAUGAGAACCCUUGGUGGCUUUGAAAGAGAUGGCAGAGAGGAAAAACAGCCCAGCAUUGGCAAAGGGGGGAAAAUAGACUGAGAGAAAGAAGCUGAAAAUGUGCUGAAACGGCUGAUGACAGCCCAAACAGCAGGAGAAGGCUCCUGCCUGCCAAUUAACGAGGCUCUGGUGCUAAUUUGCCACCUUGACUGCACUUCUGAGCUUGGCAGGAGAAGGGGGAGGAAAAACAAAAAGAUGAGGCUAAAAAGGAGCCAGUGAGGUUUUGGGUUGCCUCUUGGCCAUGCAGAUGUCACUGGGCUUUGGAGAGCCAGGGGAAACAGGGGGGGCUGGUGGCAAACCCCACCAAUACACAAGCCUGGUGUGUGGAGAGAAUGAUGACAAGUUUCCAUGGGCUGGUGCUGGCAGGGCAGCUCUGGGCCACGAUGCUGCCCACCUCAGGGGUGCCAGCUUCCCAGGGAUCACAUCCCACCAUCUGCUGGGCUGUUGGGAGAGUGAGAGGUGAUCCCAAGUGUGCCCAGGAGCAUCUCUGUGGUGACUGAGUUGUGAGGAAGGAGCCCGAGCUGUGCUGGGGCAGAGAGGGCAGCUUGGCAUCUCCUGCCUCCCCCAGAAACGCUGUCAAGCACAGAGCAGGUCUGCUGGCAGCUGCCUGCUGUGGCUAACAGAGCCGCAGGAGCCCUGGGCAAAACGCUCAUCCUGCAGCUUCCUGCCAAGCCAAACCCUGAUUCCCUGAUUCCCUCCUCCUGCCCAUCCUGCAGCCCAAACCAGAGACCAGGGGGAUGCAUUAAAAGCAACAUCUGCACCAGUGUGCUGUUUGCAUGCAAAGCAGGAGAGUUCCUGCCAGCUCCAGCGUGUUACCUGGAGCUCUCCCAGCCCUCCCUCCUCCCCUGGGAUGUUUUCAUUCCUGUGCAUCCACGUUCUUCUGUGCCAGGCUGGCAGUGUUUGCUGCGAGCCACAGGGGUAAACUGAGGCAGGCUGGAGCAAGAAUGCCGAGUUAGGCUGACAGCCUCUCUCCACGGCAAAGCUGGCCUUGCUGUUUGGGUCCAGCCUGAUGCAGAGGUGCCCUUGGGCCACCACCUGAUGGCACACAGGGCUGGAGGCUCAAAGGGUGAAGGCAGGAGGGGGAAAAGGGUGUAGGUUACAAAGGUGGAGCUGUUUGCUCAGGUGCAGCCCAUCACAGCCCAUCCCUGGCUGUCUCAGGGUGGCAGAUGGAGGCAGGACCAGCCCCAGCCUGAGGGCCAUCAUCUCUCUCUGCCCUGGGAGAGCUGUGCAGGAAACCCCAUGCUGCUGCCUGGGCUGGGGGUGAAACAGCCUGGCCCUCCCUGGCCUCCUUUGCCCUGGCAGAGCUGCCAAACAAACGUGUCUGGAGGCAACCAGAGUGUCUGCAUCCAGCAAGUGAAGAGCUCAGCUUGUUAUUUAAAGGCCAUUUUCUGGCUUUCAUACUGCAGAGAAUCUCAUAUAAACACAGAGUCUAGAAAGGGACAACCCCAAACACAGGAGUUGUUAAAACCUGAUGGGUUUGGUGCUGAAUUCCUGGUUCAGGCUGGCUGUUCCCAUCCUGAGGCCAGAUCCCAGCUCUCCAGCCAGCCCUGCUGCCAUCAGCACUGUUCUGUGCAGGGAAAGCACUGCAAGGUAAUCAAAUGCUGACCUCCAGUUAUUAACCUUGUCCUUUUAAUCACCUCCGCUGAGUGCCUUAAUUGCUGGGCAGGGAUGGGAGGACCUGGCUGCUUCCACCUGAGAUUCCCACACAGCCUGGCAGUCUCUCCCAGGGCAUCCUGCUGCUGCUGCUCUUCCUUUAACUCACACAAAUCCCCCAAAAAGGUGGGAGCAUUUCUCUCCCAAAAUACAGCAAUUCAGCAGCCAAAUUUAAGGAACCAAUUCUGUUUUUCUGAGUUAAAGAGGGGGUGCAGCCCCAUGGUUUGGGGGUGGGUGACCAAGGUCUUGUCUGCCUCCCCAUGGGAAGUGCUUUUUGCUGAGACAGGGCUCUGCCAGCUGCCAAGCCUUGGAGUGCCAUGCAUAGCCUCAUUCCUAAAGGGAAUUAAUUGGCAAUUUGGGCCAAACUUGGUGCUUUUGGGCAAUAGGUUACAGAUAUUGCUGAGAGGCUGUGGAGAGAGGAGAGGCAACUGCUGAGGAUGCAAAGAGCUGGUGGCUCAUCCUUCCAGCUGCCUGCCUCCCCUUACUCCCUGCAGUGCUUUUUUGCAUCAAAUUAAAAGUAAAUGGCCUUCAUCCACCUCCCUCCUCACACAUGGGACUGUUAGGGCAUCACUUGGCUCCAUCUGGAGCCUAAACAAAGCCAGAGAAGUGCAGGGUGCAUCCCUUGAUGGGUACCUUGAGGUGCUGCCAGUCACCCCAACAACUCUUAUAUUCAUGUUGACCUGGGUUUAGGAUGUGGGACUGGUUCAGGACACCAAAAAAUAUGGUAGGAAGUGCUCUUUCUAGAGGAGAUGGGAGUGGGCCAAGGAAUGUUAGCCUGCCACAUGGCCCACGUGAUGAUGGGGAGAACCCCAGAAUGGUUUGGGUUAGAAAACACCUUAAAUCUCAUCUUGCUCUAACCUUCCACAGGCAGGGACACCUUCCAGUAGCCCAAAGCCUCAUCCAACCUGGCCUUGGACACUUCCACGGAUGGGACACCACAGCUGCUCUGGACAACCAAGAAGUGAUGGAAUAUACACAGCAGAAGCCAAAAUAACUUCUCUAGCUGGGAAUCCUGCUGGCAGCCCUGCCUGCUCAGGAGCACUGCUGGCCCUCAUGCCUGUGCCCUCCCCAUCCUCAGGCUGAUGUCUGCCAGCACUGCCUGGGGAGCCCAGAGGAUGGCUUUGACUUUUCAUUUCCUCCUGGUGUGUUUAAUUGCCUGAUUUUUUUUUUCCCUUUAGGACUGGGAGAGAGAGGAGAGGUGGGCAAAGGAAGACAGAUGUGUGGAAAAUAGAAGGCUAGGUGACAGAUUGAGGGCUGCUAUAACCACAAUAGCCAGCCUGAUGGAUUGAUAGAUUAGACAGGGAAUAUAAAUAGCAAGUAUGGUUUAUCUAUCCCUGUUUUAUUUUCCUCUUGUCUGUCUCUUUAUCUCUCCUGGAGUUAUUUUCCUCCUGCUUAUCUCUUUAUCUGCCCAGCGCGAGGAUGGGGGAGAGGUGGGUGACAGGAGCAGGAUGGAUGAGUUCAGGUUUCCACUGCCUUUGCAGCAUCCAAGCAGACAAGUUUUGCCAGCUGUGGAGGAUUAGAAGGCGGCCUCAGACCUGCACACUGAUUCACAUUUCCCACCCCUCUCCUUUCCCUGCCCCAUCCCCUUUGUCUGCACACCUCCCUUGGGGAUCCCUGCGGUCACAGGGUCUGCUCCUUCCUCUCUCUGCCUCAUCCUUGGCCAAGGGAUGAGGGCAGGCACUGGAGCAGUGAGCUCUGCUUGUCUGGGCUCCCGACAUUCCCAUCUGACAGCCAGGCAGCUCCACUGCUUGAUAUUCCAGUCAGGCACCCAGCACAGCAGCACUGGGAAGGAGGGAGGGAG